AAGUAAACCACACUAUGGCAAGGAAAAUUAGGAAAACAACAGAAUAACAGAUGCACAACAAGAGAAUAAAGUGGCAGCAACGGAAGCUCAUGGUAAGAUAGAGAAAUUAAUCCCAAAAGCUUGUUUUACCAAUAUCUUUUUUUUUUAUUCACUUCUUUACAGCCAAAUAAAGUAAUGAUCAAUCAUACCUAAUUCGAAAUGACAAAUCCAUCUACAAACACCAUAAUGCAGUAUCCAGAAUCCAGAUACUCAUGACUUAUCAAUUCCAUUUCAGUUCAGUUAGUUUUCAUUUGUAAAGAUAAAAAGAAAACUUCCCAGAACAGCAAAUUGAGAUAAGAACCCCUAAAGCGAAUUUCUGGCCCAUCCAACUGCAAUGAAUACUUAUAACCCAAUUAACCGAAAAUGAAAGAUCAAGAUCAGUCCAUUAACAGUGGGAUAGCUAAUCAAAGACAUACAAAGGCAUAUCAAGAACUACUACAUGAGUUCUAAACCACAA
Molecule: unclassified non-coding RNA, 496 nt
Filed under: Hevea brasiliensis (rubber tree)
Lineage: Eukaryota; Viridiplantae; Streptophyta; Magnoliopsida; Malpighiales; Euphorbiaceae
Source: RNAcentral